CACGUAGGCGGCGAUAUCAGUCGAUAGUGAAAUCCCACCGUUCAACGGUGGAACUGCUGUCGAAACAGUAUUGCUUGAGGAUGUCAGGGGAGCGCGGAAUUCUUGGUGGAGCGGUGAAAUGCGUAGAUAUCAAGAAGAACGCCGGCGGCGAAGGCGGCGCUCUGGGGCAUUCUUGACGCUGAGGUGCGAAAGCUAGGGGAGCAAACA
Molecule: ribosomal RNA, 207 nt
Filed under: uncultured bacterium
Lineage: Bacteria
Description: partial 16S ribosomal RNA
Rfam family: Bacterial small subunit ribosomal RNA
Source: RNAcentral